This is an RNA transcript of Aphis gossypii (cotton aphid), 1232 nucleotides long. RefSeq lists it as uncharacterized. The transcript is spliced from 4 exons. The record is from RefSeq and is a predicted model, not a curated record. Lineage: Eukaryota; Metazoa; Arthropoda; Insecta; Hemiptera; Aphididae.
UCCUUAAAGAUAUAUUUUAAAAAAGUAUUAAAAAUACAAAAUAAAUAUGGUUAUACAUUUUAAUAUAAUUUUUACCAAUUUUGGAUAAACCAAGUUCCACUUGAAAUAAAAAAUUACAAUAAUGCUUUCAAAUGAGUAGAUAGUUGUAACCAAUUCUGAGUAGGAUCUUAUAGUUAUUAAUUCAUAAGUUUAGUAUUAUACAACAUAAUUUUAUUUAGUUACUUAUUUUACUUUAAUCCAUUUUAAAUAUACUGAUAAAUUGUUUGGUUCAGUAAUAUAAAUUAAAAUGAGUAACACCAACACUUUAUACCUACUAAAUAUAUGUAUUAUAAAAAUAUUUUAGUAUACAAUUUUAAAAUUUAAAACCAUUAUUGUUUUAUAAAUUAAAAUUAUAAAUAUUAAAUAUUAAUAUUAGUUUAUUAUUUACAAAAUAUUGUAAUGAUUAUUUUUAAUUAUUAAAUAAAUUGCAUACAUAAACCAAUAAAUAAUGCUACUAUAAACGUGAAAUUAAUAUAUUUACUCUUAAUGGUUGUUAAAAGACCUUUAUUAUAACUGCAGGCUUGCAAACGAGAAUGAAAAUGCAACAUAUUGAAGAAUAAAGUAGAAGUGGGAGGCAUAAGAAUGGGCUGUGUUUACUUGUGCAGUUUAGUGUUUCACAGACCCUUAGGUGAGAAGAUUAAGUCAUUCGUGUACAAACGUCGCAUCAUGAACGUCCUAAUCCCACUGGCUUUGUCGGUAUUCUUGCUCAAUCAAAAUAAUGCUUGGUUUAUAAAUCACAAAAAUUCAGGAGGUAUCGAAAAAAGUAAUCUUAAAUCAGUAUGGGAUCUACUAUAUUUUGAUAAAGAAAUAUUGGAACGUAAUAUCCCUAAAGAUACAUUAAAUAAAAAGAAGGUUAAAAGUUCCGACAUAUUUUCAUCUCUGAUGAAACGAACUCAAACUUCUUUAACUCCAUAUGAAAGUAUUGAGAAGUUUCUUACCAUAUGUUUGCUUAUCUGAUAAUAAAUGAAAAUGAGCACGUAUGGAUCUGCCUCCCUAAAACUAGCGGUUAAUCAUAAUAUUCAUGAAUGUACUUAAUGAAGUAAUUUUUCACAAAAUUUAAGUUAGCGAAUUCUCUAUGUACGAGAUAGAUGUUAUGAGUGACCUGAAGCAGUUUUUCGAUAAUAUAAGUGCUAAUGUUAAGCAAAUGAAAGAAAACCAGCAAUCUAAGUACAAUAUUCAAAGAAAAUAUGGUA